AUACCUUUCUCGGCCUUUUGGCUAAGAUCAAGUGUAGUAUCUGUUCUUAUCAGUUUAAUAUCUGAUAUGUGGGUCAUCGGCCCACUUGAUAUUAAUCUUAUUUUUUAUGGGGGAAGACCCAUCACAAUAGCUUGCUAUUGGGGUCUUUGAGUGUCGCCUUGGUCUUGCACUGCCACCUUGGCCUGGCGCACCCCUC
This is a non-coding RNA of Helianthus annuus (common sunflower), 196 nucleotides long. The record is from Rfam. NCBI's taxonomy places the organism in Eukaryota, Viridiplantae, Streptophyta, Magnoliopsida, Asterales, Asteraceae.